Molecule: long non-coding RNA, 249 nt
Filed under: Lathyrus oleraceus (garden pea)
Lineage: Eukaryota; Viridiplantae; Streptophyta; Magnoliopsida; Fabales; Fabaceae
Description: Pisum sativum (pea) long non-coding RNA (PSAT_LNC028863)
Source: RNAcentral
UUGAAUGUCCAAUCAAAAUUAUCCAACAUGUUUAGUCAACAUACAUGAGAAUUCAAGGGACAUUUUUUUGAUAUUCACCUCUAUUAUACUCAUCUUGGAAUCUGUAACUGACUUGAGCGUUGGAGUGUUAACCUUGCAGAUUCAUCCUGCACCAGCGUAUUAGAGAUCAACAUUAUAGCUUUCAGGGUCCUACAUCAACAAUCAACACCAAUCCAGGUUAGCACGGAACAAGCAGAAAUCAAAAUAAUC